Molecule: ribosomal RNA, 468 nt
Filed under: uncultured bacterium
Lineage: Bacteria
Description: partial 16S ribosomal RNA
Rfam family: Bacterial small subunit ribosomal RNA
Source: RNAcentral
GACGAACGCUGGCGGCGUGCUUAACACAUGCAAGCCGAACGGAAAGGCCCUGCUUUUGUGGGGCGCUCGAGUGGCGAACGGGUGAGUAACACGUGAGUAACCUGCCCUUUACUUUGGGAUAACUUCAUGAAACUGGGGCUAAUACCGGAUAGGAGCUCCUUCUGCAUGGUGGGGGUUGGAAAGUUUCGGCGGUUGGGGAUGGACUCGCGGCUUAUCAGCUUGUUGGUGGGGUAGUGGCUUACCAAGGCUUUGACGGGUAGCCGGCCUGAGAGGGUGACCGGCCACAUUGGGACUGAGAUACGGCCCAGACUCAUACGGGAGGCAGCAGUGGAGAAUAUUGCACAAUGGGCGGAAGCCUGAUGCAGCAACGCCGCGUGCGGGAUGACGGCCUUCGGGUUGUAAACCGCUUUCGCCUGUGACGAAGCGUGAGUGACGGUAAUGGGUAAAGAAGCACCGGCUAACUACGUG